Molecule: long non-coding RNA, 222 nt
Filed under: Elaeis guineensis (African oil palm)
Lineage: Eukaryota; Viridiplantae; Streptophyta; Magnoliopsida; Arecales; Arecaceae
Description: long non-coding RNA (EGUI_LNC030679)
Source: RNAcentral
UUUCCUUCUGCAGAUGCCGACACUUGACGGCCUAUUUGUAUAGCUUUUUAUUUUUAUUUUAGAUCUUUUAUAAUUUUAAUUUAAUAUAAUAAAAUGAUAAAAUUUAUUUAUAAAUUUAUUAUAUAAAUUAUUUAUUUUAAUUUAUUAUUUUUAAUUCAUAAAAAAUAUUAUAAAUAUAAAUUUAAUAUAUACAUUCAUAAAUUAUUUAUAAAAAAAUAUGUG